CCUACACACCUUGUUUCGGGUGCCCUUCACAGGGUGAAACGGGAAACCGGUGCGUCAUAGCGAUAUGACCAGUCCGGUGCUGCCCCCGCAACGGUAAGCGAGCGAAGCGUCACGGCCACUGUGCUUUGUGCAUGGGAAGGCGAUGCUUUCAGGACUCAGUUCAAGAGUCCCCUCGCAAGCCCGGAGACCGGCCCGAAAAAAAUCAUCUAAC
RNAcentral lists this non-coding RNA (211 nucleotides) under Pseudomonas veronii. The record is from RNAcentral. Lineage: Bacteria; Pseudomonadati; Pseudomonadota; Gammaproteobacteria; Pseudomonadales; Pseudomonadaceae.